Molecule: long non-coding RNA, 4124 nt
Organism: Papaver somniferum (opium poppy)
Lineage: Eukaryota; Viridiplantae; Streptophyta; Magnoliopsida; Ranunculales; Papaveraceae
Exons: 5
Source: RefSeq, a predicted model, not a curated record
UCAAGUCAACCUCUCUCGGUGUUUCUCUGGCGAUGAAGUGAAAUUUGAAGAAAUGUCUUCAGUUUGGUGGAGACUUCCGGAAGACAUUCAGGUAGAUAUUUUCAUCAUAUUACCACCGUUUAAUUCAAUCUUAGCAUGUAGAUGUGUAUGUAAACCUUGGUGUAGUCUACUUUCUAAACCUAAUUUUAUCAAGGAUUCAAAGUAAUAAACCUAGAAUCAUGUUUGAUCAUUCUCUGUAUCAUAAAGGUAUGAACCCUAUCGCUCUUUCAAUAGAUCACUGCAAAUCAACUUCAUCACCAUCAUCAACUUCAGCUUCAUCAGAAUUGAAGGUUGUUUCAAUGGAUUACCCAUUUUGAAUAUGAGAAAACUAAAGCCAUUAUAACUCUGGGUUCUUGUAAUGGAAGAUUGAUUUGUCUAUACCCAACCCCAAUACGGAUUCAGAACCUCCAUUUGAAACUCUUAAUAGUUCUGCCAAAGAAAGGGAAGCGAACAGAGUUCAAGGAUUAUCCAUCAUCAGCUAAGCGUCCUGCUAUGGGUGAACCUGGGUUUCAAUCUCAUGUAUACCAAACACCCAAUGCAUCCUGUAAAAACAAUUUUCGUGUAGAUGUUUGGUUUCUGGUCACAAUUUGCUGUAACACGGCCAGGGAACUCAGAGAGGGUGGCAUUAGAUUCUUAGACUCUCUAGUUGUGCAGUAUCUGAAGCACCAACAUCGGCAGUGCCCAGCUCCUAUAACCGCUUUAACACAUCUCUCCUGCCACAUAUGUGCCCAGAACCACGACGAAGUAUUAAGCUGCUUGCAAAUGUGACAAUCUCACCUGCCAUGUGGGAGUUUAUAAACCAUUAUGUUAGUUACUCCUCUUGGAUUGUUACAGGAAACCAUUUCUCAAAAAUAUUGAUCCAGAAAGUGAGAAUUUUUGGAGAGUAGUACGGUUCAUCGUUAAUCAUUAUCACGCGUCCAUUCAGCUCUAUCUGGUGACACUCGAUCAGUUGGUUCUUUCUUCGGGCUCAUAUGAAGUACAACUCUGGGAUGGAUCUUCAGUUUUCAGGUGGUCCCAUGCAUUCUUUUGAUGGAUGCAAUGCAAGGCAGCGCGGUUCAACAACUCGAGGAACAUUUUGUCGCCCUAUCAACAGAGUCAUCACCGCGCAAAGUUUUCAUGUAUGAUGAAAGGAUGUAUUGGUGAUGCAAAGUAUUUACCACUGCCCAGCUAAGAAUGACCAGAGCUCCAUCUUUCAAGCUGAUAUGGUCUUUUGAAAUGGUGACAUUCUCUCUUGAACAAUUGAUCUUAUGCUAUCAAAGUACUGGAGAAACUAGAAAGGUACACCACAGUAUUUUAAUAUAUCCGGAGAGCUAUGUGGAAAGCCUGGUUGCAAUUAAAUCGGGUACUUAUGUGGACAAAGGACUACAAAUGGAGAUAAGAAGAAACCUAAGCGACAGAGAUUGAGUUUCCAACACUUGGUUGGUUCUUCCUUCCUCGCUAAACUUUUUUUAGCAAUGGAGCACAUAAGAUUUGGUGUUGGUGGAAAUGAUGCUGCAAAGCCUGAUUCUCACUACAAGACGAAGCAAACAGCUGUGUUUAGCUUUCCAGAAAAGGUUCUGAUGCAGAUAUUUGUAAGGGUACCUGUGAAAUCUAUCUUAAUUUGUUCCUUCUUUGAUGUGUGGGUGAUGCAAGAUUAUGGAGUAAGAGAAUCUUGGGCUAAACAUUUUACCAUUACUGAUGACCAAGUAUCAAUUACAGGGUCUACCUUCUUUAAGUCAAUAUGGUCUACUGAAGAGGAUUUACCUGAGAAUAUAGGGAGUUAUGUGGAAAGCCUAGUCCAGCUCUGGGUUCUUGUAAUGGAUUACAAAUCAAUUUCAUCAUCAGCUUCAUCAGAAUUGAAAGUUGUUCCAACGGAUUACCCAUUUUGAAAAUAAGAAAACUGAAGACAUUGUAACUCUGGGUUCUUGUAAUGGUAGAUUGAUUUGUCUAUGUCCACCCCCAAUUCGGAUUCAGAACCUCCAUUUCAAACUCUUAAUAGUUCUGCCUACGAAAGGAAGCCAACAGAGUUCAAGCAUUGUAGAUUUGCAUCAUCUGCUAAGCGUGUUGCUAUGGCUGAACAUGGGUUUCAAUCUCCUGCUGUUUACUAAACACCUAAUGCUGCCUGUAAAUACAAUUUGCAUGUACAUGUUGGGUUUCCGGUCACACCAAGCUGCUAAAAUUCCAAGUGGUAUUUUUGCGGAUAAUACUGAUGAUAUGCCAGGGUAGAUAUGUUGGUCCUCUUUGUUUUCUAUUUUAUGUUAUACUUGUACUUAGAUCUAUUUCCCUUUUCUGUGUAGUGGGGUUUCUGAAGGUGUGAGGCUAUAUGUUGGGUGUAAAGAGAAACGAUACUGGGGAUAGAACAUGGAGCAGGAAAAGGUUGGGGGAUCGAGUAGAGCAGGCAGUGGAAAUGAGGAUGGUUUGAUGCAAGAGAUGUAAGGUCCAAGCAGCAAAAGAAGUACCUAGAAAAGAGGAGUGUCAAGAAAUGAAGCGGUGGAUUUCAAGAUAGAGAAUCAAAAAACAGUAGAAAAGGAGAUGGCUCAAGGAGAAAACGAGCUCAAAACCUUCUAGUGGCUAAACUUCUGACGGUUAGCACGGAGAGUUCGGGAGAGAGAACUUUUGACGUGAGAAAUGAGCUAAAUCCAGGUACUUCUUUUGCUGUGGAUAAAGGAACUAAAUCCAGCAAUAAGGUUGAGAAUUGGGUUGAGGGAGAAAGGAGUAAGAGCAGAGGGAAGUCUGAGGCUCAAGAAGAAGAAACUAGAAAGGUUUCUUUGAGUAGUGAUAAAGCUAAGAGGUUCUGGUUCAUAGAGGAGUCAAAUUUAUGCUUCAGUAACAAAUUGUGGAGAUUGGACAUAUCAUCAGGAGGACAGGGCAAGAAUACAGAUGACCUGGAAAGAUAUACAGAUGAUAGUUUUUUUUUUAUGCUAGAUAGGAACCUUAAUAAGAACAUGCUAGAUGUUCCACCUGAUCCUGGCUUGUUUUGCUGUCAACCAGUCCCUAGUCUCUAAGGAAAGAAUGAACUCUGUCAUAUAACUCUCUCCUUUUUUAACGCAAUGAGAACAAUGGGACGAGGAUGCCUCAAGAAAAAGCUCAUGCAAACUGCGAUCCUCCGGUAUUUGGUGGGCCUCUUGGUAAAGCUCCUUCAAGAGGGGAGAAGAAUGAUUAUCAUCAUAAUUUUGUUGAUACUGGUAAGAAGCCACAAAAUUUCAUUAGGGAGCUGGAGCUAACUAAUGUUGUGGAGGACUAUCUGAGACUCCAAGAGUUUAUUCAGAAGAGAAGAAGAAGAAGAGAUCGUGGGGAAUGUGGCUUCACUCCCAUGUAUUACAAGUGCGAUCUGGGCGAGUUUAUUCUUUCUUCAGAAUCUGGUACUUAUGUGGCGAAAGCCUAGUCCGGCUCGAAUCUGGUACUUCUGUGGCGAAAAAAACUGGAAAUUGAAAUAUGGGGAAGUCCAGCUAGGUGAUAAAAAUUGAGGGUUACUCGGUACUUAGAGAUGUUUAAGGCAGUAAAGGGCUUGCGGAAGCUGAUGAGAAUGAGAGGAAUUCAUCAAGUAAAACGAGAUUGAGGCGAAGGCGGCUUCACCUCCCAUGGUUUACAAAUGUGAUUAAGGCAAUUGCUGACACACCUUCCUCCAUCUUCCUUUGGGUUGGUGAUGGUGUGGGUCUUGAGCAGGUCCGCCAAUGUGUAAAGAAGGUAUAGCAGCUGAUACUAUUGCAGCACGGCAAGUAUGUAAAGGAGCCGUGUUCUAAUAUGUUUGCAUGGACUAGGGAUUCUUUUGCUUUUGCUUUGUUUUGAGGAGCCUCUGCGACUAAAACACCACUGAAUGGUACAAUCAACUUAAGACUGUUUGGGGUUUCUGAAGGUGUGAGGCUAUAUGUUUGUUGUAAAGAGAAACGAUACUGGAGAUAGAACAUGGAGCAGGAAAUGGCCGGGGAUCGAGUAGAGCUGGCAGUUGAAAUGAAGAUGACUUGAUGCAAGAGAUGUAAGGUCUAAGCAGUGGAUUUCAUGAUAGAGAAUCGGCAGAAAGCAGUAGAAAAGGGAUUGAGGCUGCUGGUGAGAAUGAGAGGGAUGGUAAGCACGGGGAGUCCGAUAGAGAGAAAGCUGUUGAUGCG